CGACUCCUACGGGGGGCAGCAGUCGGGAAUAUUGCACAAUGGAGGAAACUCUGAUGCAGUGACACCGCGUAUAGGAAGAAGGUUUUCGGAUUGUAAACUAUUGUCGUGAGGGAAGAAAUUGACAGUACCUCAGGAGGAAGCUCCGGCUAACUAUGUGCCAGCAGCCGCGGUAAUACAUAGGGAGCAAGCGUUAUCCAGAUUUAUUGGGUGUAAAGGGUGCGUAGACGGGAAAUUAAGUUAGUUGUGAAAUCCCUCGGCUUAACUGAGGAACUGCACCUAAAACUGAUUUUCUUGAGUACUGGAGA
RNAcentral lists this ribosomal RNA (305 nucleotides) under uncultured bacterium. Its description in RNAcentral is "bacterial SSU rRNA". It matches the Rfam family "Bacterial small subunit ribosomal RNA", at positions 333 to 655 of the family's 1533-position model. The record is from RNAcentral.